CCCGCGGUAGCUCAGCGGCAGAGCGCCCGGCUGUAGACCGGGUGGUCGGGGGUUCAAGUCCCCCCCGCGGGACCA
This 75-nucleotide transfer RNA is filed under the name Staphylothermus marinus F1. Its description in RNAcentral is "tRNA-Tyr (GTA) (tRNA-Tyr-GTA-1-1)". It matches the Rfam family "tRNA". From Rfam's summary of the family: Transfer RNA (tRNA) molecules are approximately 80 nucleotides in length. Their secondary structure includes four short double-helical elements and three loops (D, anti-codon, and T loops). Lineage: Archaea; Thermoproteati; Thermoproteota; Thermoprotei; Desulfurococcales; Desulfurococcaceae. The record is from RNAcentral. RNAcentral also lists the same sequence under 4 other names.